GAGAGAGAGAGAGAGAGAGAGAGAGAGAGAGAGAGAGACGCUUAAUUUGUGCUUCCCAAAAAGUAGUCGAAAAAAGGAGGAAGAUUAAGUUAGAAUGUAAUAUUACAGAAAGGUUAGAUGUUCCCGUCAUUUUAAGGUGCGCGAGUGUUGCAUUACAAAGUACACAACAAUUAACAGGUAGUGGUGGAGGAGGUGCUGCGCGUUAGCUGUCUACGGGUGCUCCUGGUGGUGGUGGUGGUGUGUGCAGCGGCCUGGGCUACCGUGCUACUAGGAAAACUCUUAAUUUGGUACAAGAGAUGCGUGGAAAAAGAGAAAAAAGAAAACUAGUGAAGUAUUUUGACAUAGAAAAAUGUUAAUCUUAAAAAAAAAAAAACAAUAUUGCGUUUUCAUCACUCAGGCGUAUACCAGGUUAGAGUCUUUUAAAAUAGUACAUGGCAUGAGCGAACCAGAACGGGGCAGCGUAGCAAGGCGUCGUUCUCAAGGCGGCGGGAUCGGUGGCCUGAAGCUCCCGCCACGACCAGGUAUGGAUGGAUGGCUCUCCGAUGUGUGUGUGUGUGAUGCAUUGCUGAUGGGCGCCUCGCUGUGGCCUCUGCUUGCAGCUAGCGAAGCCUUGACUGAGGCCAUGCUUUUGAAUUGGAUGUCCAUAUCAAGAGGCGUUUUACUUAUUCAAUUAUUAUUUAUUCACUUGUUUUGUAGUCUGGUUGCGAGUGACGUCUGUCCGGAGAGCCUUCAGGGGCGUCUCUCGUUGAGUAAGCAAUGGUGUUCUGUGCUGGGAACUACUGACAGUCCGUCGCGGUGUAUCCUCCUGCAGACGUGCCUUCCUCUUCGUGGGUUUCUAUUUGAAUUCCGUUCAAGUAAAUUCUAGCCUCGAAGAUUCUCCCAUGAAGAUUUCACUCGUAAUAAUUUCUUUGUUAGUAAACUGUCUCAGUCUAACCUAAUUUCAUUCAUAAUAGGAGGGGGAGAAACAAUUUGAGGGAGGUGGAAUGUCUGAGGGCAGAAUCUAACCAUAGGAGAGAGGAGCUUAGUGUUACGGUUUGCUGUGGUGUACAUAUUUGCUUAGGUUUGGUGAACAGAACCUCGCACCACACAACACGAAGACACCAGGACGGGACAGUUGCUUUCUGCCCGGGUGCUUUGUAAGGCUCAGCUCCUCUUCCUGCGUAUUAAGUGAACGAUCCUUUCUUAUCUUCUCCCUCUUGGUGGCCGUCAGACUCCCACACGCCCUGUAUGCGUGGUGAGGAACGACAAAGUUGGACAUUGCCGCCUUCAUUCAUGAGCCGUGCUGCCGCCUGGCUUGUGUUGUGUGUGGCGUCUGUUGAUGUGUUGGUAUUCUACGUUUGGCGUGUGGCUGGGAAUGGUCUUGUUUUGUUGGUGGGCGUAAGUCUGCGAGAUUUGCAUUUGUGUUAUUGUAAUUUUUCUUUGCAUUGUAAAACCAAAACUGACAUGGCGCUGAAAAAUAUUGGCUCAUGACAGCGCUUACAGAUUUGGUGGAUGGAGAUCAUGUAAAAAGCAGCAUCAUGAAGUGAAGUGUUAGUGAACCCUGACUGAUCUUGGCCUUGAGAAGACCCGCCCGGUGAGUGUCGUCUCGCUGACGGACAGGCCCACCCUUCAGGCACGCUUCACACUCCCCAUUUCGUGCGCCCGUCUGGAGACAGUGUGCGUCACCAGUGACGUCAAAACGUGUCUGUCUAGUGUGAAGCGUGUACACAUGUGCAUCCAUGGGACGGGAGCACUGUUGCCAGUACUUAAGGAACAAUUAAUGAUAAAUUUUGAAUGAUUGAAAUAGUAUUGUUUAUUUCUAAUUUCUUCAUCAUUUAAGGCUUUUGAACUACAUAUAGUAUUAUCAGUAUAAUUCACCAUAGAUGUACAAGUGGCGGCAAUGUAUAGUGACAGGCAGACCCACGCGUCACCCCUCGCAUGGGUGACGCGUCGCUGACAGACAGACCCACCCCAUACCCUCGCACGCUGCCCGCCGUGGUGGGAUGCUGCAAGGAUUUUCCCUGGAGGGCUCUGAGGUGUGAGGCGGCACAUCCGGCGUGGCUGUUGAAGGGUUCAGGUGGCCAGUCCUGUCAUCACUUGGGAGACGCUCUGGCACCGUGAACCAGGGAAAAAUAAACUGUAUAUCGCCCUUGGUGUUGAGAGCAGUACUGAUACUUGAUCUUCAUUGUAGCUGUAAGGUGAUGACUGACCUCCCUGAGUUGUGUUACGUAACUGUUUUAGGUGUGGCUGCCUUUUAAUGUUAUUUGUGUUAGUUCAUCUUGUUCUAGUUUGUAUUGGGAGUUGCAUUGAACUAUAUUGCCUCAGUACAUUACGUGCGGUGCCAUGUGACCUCAUUGUUAUGGCGCCUUCAGUCAAUCAAUCAAUCUUGUCGGUGUGAAAUUUCCAGCUUUAUCCCCGGAAGUCUGAAAGUGUGAAUAGAUUGACGUCAUGAGUCUGCUGUGCGCUCUCUCUCUCUCUCUCUCUCUCUCUCUCUCUCUCUCUCUCUCUCUCUCUCUCUCUCUCUCUCUCUCUCUCUCUCUCUCUCUCUCUCUCUCUCUCUCUCUCUCUCUCUCUCUCUCUCUCUCUCUUUCUGGGUCAUGUAGGCUGCUGUGGAUGAUAAUGAUGAGGGUGUCAAUUCUUGCAUGUGACUCAGCUGAGGUCGUUUAUCUUAUCUUGCGUGGUGCGGUGGUCUGAUUCAUGGCUGCUGUAUAAUUGAUGGUGAUUUGCGCGGGGAAGUUUACCCCACGAGUGACACUCCCGCCCCUGAGCAACCACCUGUCACCCCGCGAGUUAUGGGCGCGUCAGGGCGUGGGAGCGGCGCGGCGUGACGCAGGGAAGGAGCGUGAUGUGGCUGAGACGCAUUCGUGGCGGGUAUCGCGACUUGUGGUGUGCACACACACACACACACACACACACACACACACACACACACACACGAGUACUACGUUAUAGUGUUUCAGGAUGGCUGUCAAGAAUAUAGCCUUGUAAGAAUCGCCAGAGAACAGUGUGUGUGUGUGUGUGUGUGUGUGUGUGUGUGUGUGUGUGUGUGUGUGUUAAACAAUAGUCUCUACAAAGCCUUUUAUAUAUUUCUGUAAAUAGCACGGGUGGUCGGGGUCUGGGUGUGCUUUCCCUCACGUGCUGUAGCGCCACGCACGGGCACGGUGUGGCUGCGUGGUUUACAUGCCAGUUCUCGGUGUUCCCUCUGCUCGGGCACCAGGUUAAGGGUUUUCUCGGGCCACGGUCGUCUUCUCAUCCCCUGGCCUGGCCUUGGCCCCUCGCUGUAGUGUUGCGAUAAUUGCCGCGUGAGUCAGCGAGUGACGCACCUUCUAAGUAGCUGGCGGGGAGUUGUGUGUCUCUACGAACCGCUGAUGGGCCCGCGUUACUUAUUUAAAGGCUACAGAAGUAUUUCGUGCUGCUGCUAGUAUUAGGGGAGGACGGAGUGCUGGCGUCGAGUGUCAGGCUGAUGCUUGAAGCUUCAAGAUGUGUGGAGGGAAAGUUUCAGAACUCAGGAAGAGUUUUGUGCUAACAACGCGGCGAGGGAGGAGCGGCGCUGGGUGGCGCGUGGCUGUUCAGGACAGUAUUGUGUGCCAAGUUGUCUUUAUGGAGGCGAGAAGAGUUGUAACGCGUGUGGCGUAGUGGCAAUGGUGUGUGGCUGGUGUUGUGUUGGCGGGAUCAGGCCAGGUGCGUCCCUGCCUUUCUAAAUCGAUGUACAGAGUGGCGGGCAGCGGCCAGGCAGGUGGUGGUCCCACCGGACUUGCCUUGGUCGAUAACAGCUUUUAUACUGUUUUGACUCCUGCUACGUCUCGCUGCCGACCGUCCUGCCACAUGCCACGUGCCCAGGCCUGAACGCCCAUCACGGGCAGGCGGGGCGGUGCAUGUCGCCCUCCUGGUGGCGCCAAUCCGCAUACAAGUGCCGCAAAUUAUGAUAUCGGCCGUCUUCAUUUUGACGAGCAAGUUAAUCAAAACAAAUAAGUAAAUAAAUACAAUUAAACUUUUCCUUGACGUAUGGUGUGUGCAGCCAGCUGGAGGCGGCGCGGUUCGUACCCAUAACACUCACCGCGGUAGGAUAUCGGUGAGAGGAGAGGCCGUGAGUCUUGGCUGCAGCCUCCCCACGCCUCUGGUUUGGAUGCCUGGAGGGGCAUGGGUCUCCAGGUACAGCCCCAGUGUUACGUGUUGUCUUAACCUUUCCCGCCACCAUACAGUACAGAUUUCUGUUGUGUGGUGAUCAUGAUGGUGAUUGGCACUACUACUACUACUACUACUACUACUACUACUACUACUACUACUACUACUACUACUACUACUACUACUACUACUACUACUGCUACUACCACCUGUUUCGUCGUCAUCAUCAUCAUCGUCACCACCACCACCACCACCACCACCACCACCACCACGCUCUGGGGCCCGGAAUGCCUAUACAUUGCACAAUGCCUUAAAAGCGCAAGUGUGGGGAGUGGGGCUGUACUACUUACCCGAGGUACGUAGAAAGUCGGGUCGGGAAAGAGUGGCCUGGAGGACCUUGCACCCCAGUGAGAGUCGGCACCGGGCACAAAAAAAGUGUUUCACUAUUUGGGUCACAAGCAGGAGCGUGACGACCCAUUGUCACCGGUGUCGCGAGGGCGCCCCACGCGGGCCCCACAAACCUUCAGGAACCUUGCCCCGCCCCGCCCCGCCCCGUUCCCUCCUGCUCCGCCCCACUCCACCCUCCACCCCGCCCCGCCCCGCCCCGCCCCGCCAUGAAUCCUGCGGUGCUGAUGACACAGGCCACCGAGCACCCAAAGCAAUGACACGCACUGUCACGUCCCGCCCUCAUAUUGUGUAGAUGCGUGACACGUGGCAGCCCACCCCCCGCCUCCCCGCUCUGCACCAAGGGAGGAGGCCCAUGUGUGUGUGUUCCAGGCAGCCUCCACGCGGGGUUGAGUCAGCCGGUACAGUUAGGGCGGGUGUCCCAGGCUCCCUCCAGUCUGGCCCGCCACUGGCCGCGAGGUGUUGCCGGCGCACAUCUGCAGUCCUGUGCUCCUCACCAUGACCCAGAUUGAGGCUCCUUCCUCAUAUUACCGAUCGAUGGCGGCGUAUUAAUGCCAGGAACACCACCCAGUCAUGCACGCAGAGGUGGAGGAAGGCGUGACGUCUGGCAACACCCGCAACACCACCAGGAGCACGUGAGGGCGUAGGUUGUAUAGAAGUACAUUGAGAGUGCCAGCCGUGCAGCGUCCCAGCCAAGCCUCCCGAGUAAAUUACACCUAGGCUGGCCAGGACAGUGACCGGCCUGGAGUCCCCCAGUGAGGCGGCUCCACUCAUUCUCCCAGCCGUACCGUUUUGGCCGCGUCAGACCGCAUUCCUCGCGUGUCGCCUGGCAGGCCGGACUCGCGGCGGGUCAUCUGAGGGCAGCAGGUUCAGGCACCGCUUACCUUUGUGUUCCCGCUGCGGCUGUCUGUCCCUCGCUGCGUCUUGGUUUCACUGCCGGCGUGGUAACGAGGCGCCAAGUGGAAGCAUAGAAAUUCACUGUGGAAAGUCUAUACCUAUUUAAAUAUAUGCCCUAUUUAUUGUCCUAGCCAUUUAUGUAUCCUUCCAACUGUCUAUCUCUAUGUAGCUUUACUUGUGCUAUUAAGCUUUCUAUGCAUCUACCUAUGUAUUGAUCUGUCUAUUCAUGUAUAUGGUUUUGUGCAAGGGAUUGAAAUGUGCAACUAAUGUGUUUUUCUCCCCGUCAGGUACGGCGCACGGAACAGACGGAGGCUGGGCCAUGCGGGCUUGGGGCCUGAGCCUGCCUGAGUGACCCUUGCCUCGCCAGCAUGCACGGUAUGUAUGAGUUGCCACUUCUUCCUCACCUGGGCUGCAUCACUCACCCAGACACCUGGCAACGGGCGGCAGCGUGAGCAUCCUCGGUGUAAGUGUUCUGAACAAAAAGAAAAAAAAGGCGAGGAAAAAAGUUGAGCGUAGGAUGCGGUGCUGCAUAAUUACGGCAUUAAUUAACCUAGCGUCCUUCCUUGGGUUCCUUCGUGUGGGGAGCACUGCGGUGUGUGGACGUUGCCGAGAACUGAGUAUUGUAACGGAUUGGUGCUAAUAGUAGUGGUUUGUAAUGUACUCUUCUGUUUUCUUUUUUAUUUAUUUAUUUUUUAUUUCAUUUUCUUAAUCGUGUUUGGACAGAAUCUCGAACUCUGGUGCAGUCAAUUUAACUUCCGCAUUGUUUGAGGUGUCAUGCAUUAUAAUUUGUGUGGAAGUUUUGAUGGUGAAAAACUGAAUUAACUAACAUGUGCGUGUUUCAGAAUGUGUGUGUGUGUGUGUGUGUGUGUGUGUGUGUGUGUGUGUGUGUGUGUGUGUGUGUGUGUGUGUGUUUUAGUGUGCAAGUAAUGUGAAAGGAAACUAAUCUCGAGAUAAAUAAUGCAAAAUAUUUAUAUUAGUAAUGGUCUGAAGUUGUUUUCCAUUCUGUUUUAAAUAUUGGCAACGAAAAAUUAUACGCUGAACUGACAAUCUAUAAUUUUAAUCUAUAAUUUUUUUUUUUUAUGUAGAAGUUUUUUUUUAUUAUUUUCAUGUAACAUCCAGACCAAGAUAAGUGCGUGGAUUGAGAAAUGUGCUGCGUCGCGUGAUGUCAAGACUAGACGCCGCUCAUUUACAGCACGUCGCGUACAGGUAAAGAGAACAUCACAGCGACAAAUUACCCUUUUAACUUUUAUCAAAGCCCUAAAGAGGCAGCGUGCGCUACACCAAACACACGAACCAUCUGCCUGCGCCUCCCGAGUAACUGUACAGCGUAGCGGGGCGUAAAGCGUGACCUCGGGAAGAAAAAGAAAGUGUUUUGGAAUGAUGCAGUGUAAACUAACCACUUCAGUAUACUCAGCACUCCCACUCGCUCUUUACCAACCACUGAUGUUGAACACCUGAACCGCCGUAACGAACCUCGCGGAAAGGAGCAUAGGCAACUUACGCCGAAUAUUCCUGCAUAGACUUGAACACACCUUGCUAAACUCCGUUAAUUCCUUACAACGGAAAGCCGCACCUCUCAACCAAGGACAUUACUGUACGUGUGUUACCCUCCCUUGACUGCCAAGAACAAUAUGACUUUCAUACUUCAAUUGAGUAACACUGGACGAUCUUACUGGGUAGAAAUAGAACAAGACACUGAACAAUAUGACUUUAUCUGAGUAAUCCUGGACGAUCUUUUGGGUAGAAAUAGACACUGAAGAUUUGAACUGCCCCAACAAUAUGACUUUUAUACUUAAUUUGAGUAACCCUGAUGAUCUCUCUGGGUAGAAGUAGAACCGGAGACACUGAAGGUUUGAAAUGCCCGAACCCUCCUGUUGCUGGCAGUGGUGUCUUGCGAAAUGAUACUUCAAAGUCACACCAGCCCGUCUUAUUGAGCUUGAAUAGACACCAUGGCAGAUACGGGAGUAAAAGUCCAUACACUGACCGGCGGUGGUUCUUUUCGUAACUCCUUUAUAUUUUGUAAGUUUUGUUGACGUGAAGAGCACUGUAGAAAAUCAAUUGCAUCGACACUGAAAAAAAGAGAGAUUAAAAGACUGAUUAUAUCUUUUCUAGCAAACAAAACUAAUGAAGAGACUAGUUCAGAAAUUUCCAAAAACUUGCAUGCGAUUAAAGGGAAAAUGAAUGUGAAGAUGAUGGUGCUGUGAAAGGGUUCAGGUUGGCAGCCAUGAACUUAGCCCUCCAUUGCGGGACUCACUCACGGCCCAGCCAACGUGCGUCUUGACACUUGACAGGUCCAUGAUUGAGGUGAAACUUGAUCCAGCCUUCAUCCUGUGCUUGCUGCGGGUGCUCGGCUGCUCCCUCCCUGCGUCCUGUUACUGCCGCCGAGUCAUGUUUUGUACCUCUUUUCUUCUAUUUUAUUAUUCACAUGUAUAUUUACGUAUUUGCUCAACGAUAAGACGUCUUUGCUGUUAACAUUUCCUGAUUUUUCCAGAACGAUGUACAAAUGGUUUGAGGUCCGAUCAUGAUUAGAUUAUUUGGUGUAACUAUACUAACAUGCACUAAGAAUGAUGCUAAAGAUAAACUAGUAACGUUAUAAGGGAAGAGAAAGAUUGCCAGUAUUAGUGGUGGGGGAGGAGCGUAUGAGUGCUUCCUGGUAUGGUAAUAUGGUGUGUGUAUUAUAGGUAGUGUGGACAGAGAGAGAGAGAGAGAGAGAGAGAGAGAGAGAGAGAGAGAGAGAGAGAGAGAGAGAGAGAGAGAGAGAGAGAGAGAGAGAGAGAGGAAAUAGUUCUAGGAAUCUGUAAUUGUAAUCGGAAAUUGUGACGAGUAUAGUUAUUACGCGAGCACAUCCAUCUAAGUGGUGGUGGUGGUGGUGAUGGUGGUGGCGGCUCGGAGUAACAGCCUCGGCGUUGCUGGCUCAUUGCUGAAGCUUCAUUCCACGCCUCACUCCGCGGUGUUUGCUUAACUGAUCGCAGGGCAGGCCGGGGGUUGAAGGUGGUGAGGGGAGAGCUGCGCAGAUUGUGUGUGUGUGUGUGUGUGUGUGUGUGUGUGUGUG
Scylla paramamosain (green mud crab) is the source of this 8458-nucleotide long non-coding RNA. RefSeq lists it as uncharacterized. The record is from RefSeq and is a predicted model, not a curated record. Lineage: Eukaryota; Metazoa; Arthropoda; Malacostraca; Decapoda; Portunidae. The transcript is spliced from 2 exons.